Long non-coding RNA from Haplochromis burtoni (Burton's mouthbrooder), 2179 nucleotides. RefSeq lists it as uncharacterized. The record is from RefSeq and is a predicted model, not a curated record. The transcript is spliced from 4 exons. NCBI's taxonomy places the organism in Eukaryota, Metazoa, Chordata, Actinopteri, Cichliformes, Cichlidae.
GGUUGAUAUGAUGCCCGUGUUAUCCAACUGUGUUGAAAAUGUCACGUGUCAAAGUGCUUUCUGAUCCAGUAUUUACAAUGCACGACAACUCAGAAACAGUGCUGAGCCAUGGAAGUUAGAUCCUGCCGAACAAAGUCCUCCGGAUAGCUUACUUAUUGCAAACGCUGCUCAGAUCAGAGGCCUUCAUCCUCAGUGUUUCAAACACAAGCUUUUCAUUUAUUUUCUCUGUCAUGUCCACAUGCCGUCUGAAGCUGCAUAAGAGAAAGGUAUUUUCAGAGCGAACACUCAGCUGUAUGAGCAAACAGCAGGGGAGAGAACUUCUGAGGAACCUUAAUGAGGGGAUUUCAGUGGAUUCUGUGCUGCAGUGAAACCCAAAAAUUAAUUCGGACAAGCGGCGAGAAGCAGUGGAUGUAAGCAAAUCUCCUGGAGCAAUAAGAUCUGCCUGAUGGGGCUCCUUCAGAACCAGAACCAGUCUCUGGUCUUUUCUCAACCAGAGGUCAUCCACUUGGAGUCCACAGCACAACAAUCAGCUGUAAACAACAUUGUCAUCGUGCUGUGUGUGUUGAUCUUCAUCCUCCAGCUGUGUUUAGCUCUGUUCUUCAUGCUGAGAUGUUUUAGAUAUGACAACAGAAUACGAGAGGCUCUCAAACAGCCGACCGCUGUUAAAAAAAUCCUUGGCAUUUAUAAAGAGUCCAGGGAUCACCUUUAUGAUGCUGCUGGUUCUUCAUCACCUGCUGUGUCAGCAGUGGAGGAAAGUUAUGAACAGCCCACAGGUUCCUUAAGUGCACCGCACAUAUACUGGGACCUUGUUCAGUAGUCACGUGUCUAACAGUUCAACCAGGCUUUUAAACAGUGUUAAUGAAACUGUAAAUGUCUGUUUAAUCUUUUAAAUAUAUAAAAUUUGGAAAUGUUUUGUUUUUAGAGUAUUAAUACUAAUUGAAAAAGAAAUACAAACAACUGAUGUUACUGUGUAAUGUGAAAAUCUUUGAUAAUAUAUAAAAUAGCUGAAAUAGCUCUGUGUUGAAAUGUUUUAGUGUCUUCAGCUAUUGGCUGCUGCUUCAUUCAUUUUCAGUCCAUUCCUUGUACGUGAUGAUUUUUAGGGUUUUUUUUUUUUGUUUCUGUUGUUGUUUUUAAGUUAAUUUUUUAUCAUGUAAACAAUAUACAGAGAGUUAUUUAGGAAAAAAAAAAUUAAAGCAGAAAUCUAUCCACCUAUUUUGAUCUGCUUUACAUAUCAAGCAGGAGUGGGAACAAACAAGUGCACGUUUAUUUAAUCCUGAGGCUGAAUGGAACAAAAGACAGCCAACCUGAAUAUAGCCUAAUUUUCAUGUUCCCUGCAAAAUACAAAUAUUUUGGGGAUAGCUCAAGACUUUUGCACAGUAAUCUCUAUCUUUUAGAAAACAUCAGAAGAGGUUAUCAGACAGUGCAGCAGCACAGCACUGUGCGAACCUCAUUGUUAUGUGUUUCCCUGCUGCAUUUUUCCAAAGUUCAAUGUCAACUUACCCCACACAGCCAUGAACACAGCAAAGAAAACAGUGGCCCCGUUGUCGAAUAGAUGGGUGACCUUAAAAUGAAGACAAGAUCACACAUUUUUAUGUCAAAAAGCAAAUUUAGGAAAAAUCUACACACCUGAUUCAAUGAGAUGCAUAAAUGUCAAAGAUUUUAGUGCCAGUUUAUGUGCAGUUAGUAUGUUCCUAAGAAUACUUUUGGAUGAUAAAAAUGUCAUUUUCAUCACAGUGUUUCCCAGUAGGAUGAGAUGAUUGAAGGGUGAGAAACUGAGGACACUGCAUUCAUUCAUGAACUGCUAGCUUGUGAAUCAAAACAUAGGGCUACCCCAAAGCAUACCCUCAUUAAUCUCUUUUUGAUGAUACUUCAAAUAUACAAAUAUUUCAAUCCUACUGGACUCAUUUAGUGAUAGACAGCUUCUUAACACAUAUUUAUUUAACUAACACUGAGAUCGGCUACUAUCACAAGUAUCAGCUGCUGGGAACAUUUCGUCCCCCUUUUCAUGUACCUUGGCGUAGAUGCAGCUGUCUGACAGUCUCAGGUAGGGGCAGUACUGGUCACAGAUGGGGCACAUGAUGAUGUCGUUGGCCUGGCAGAUUUCUUUGCUGGACGACGACAAACAAACGACCAAAGCAUUCAAGUAGGACAAGAAUUAUAACAUCCAGCAAGAGACAAA